GAGUUUGAUCAUGGCUCAGGAUGAACGCUGGCGGCGUGCCUAAUACAUGCAAGUCGAACGAGGUGCUUUUGUAGCAAUACGAGAGUAUCCUAGUGGCGAACGGGUGAGUAACGCGUUGGUGACCUACCUCAAAGUGUGGGAUAACAGUCCGAAAGGAUUGCUAAUACCGCAUGUGGUUAUCGGGUUUAGAAACUGAUAACUAAAGGAGCAAUUCGCUUUGGGAGGGACCUGCGUCCCAUCAGCUAGUUGGUGAGGUAAUGGCUCACCAAGGCUACGACGGGUAGGGGACCUGAGAGGGUGACCCCCACAAUGGAACUGAAACACGGUCCAUACACCUGCGGGUGGCAGCAGUAGGGAAUAUUGCACAAUGGGCGAAAGCCUGAUGCAGCAACGCCGCGUGUGCGAUGAAGGCCUUCGGGUCGUAAAGCACUUUUCUGAGGGAUGAGCAAGGACAGUACCUCAGGAAUAAGUCUCGGCUAACUACGUGCCAGCAGCCGCGGUAAAACGUAGGAGGCAAGCGUUAUCCGGAUUCACUGGGCGUAAAGCGCGUGCAGGCGGUUCGGUAAGUUGGGCGUGAAAUCUCCUGGCUUAACUAGGAGAGGUCGUUCAAUACUACCGGACUUGAGAGUGAUAGAGGAAGAUGGAAUUCCCGGUGUAGUGGUGAAAUGCG
This 670-nucleotide ribosomal RNA is filed under the name uncultured Chloroflexota bacterium. RNAcentral's name for it is "bacterial SSU rRNA". It matches the Rfam family "Bacterial small subunit ribosomal RNA", at positions 9 to 690 of the family's 1533-position model. The record is from RNAcentral. Lineage: Bacteria; Bacillati; Chloroflexota.